This 265-nucleotide non-coding RNA is filed under the name Clostridium saccharoperbutylacetonicum. RNAcentral's name for it is "T-box sequence". It matches the Rfam family "T-box leader". Rfam says of the family: Uncharged tRNA acts as the effector for transcription antitermination of genes in the T-box leader family. T-boxes are found upstream of many aminoacyl-tRNA synthetase genes and some amino acid biosynthetic genes usually in Gram-positive bacteria. Lineage: Bacteria; Bacillati; Bacillota; Clostridia; Eubacteriales; Clostridiaceae. The record is from RNAcentral.
AUAAAUGCUAAGAUGAAGAAAAGUAAAUUCUAUUGGAUGAUUUUUAGAGAGCAGAUGAUGGUGGAAUAUCUGUAUGAGUCUUGAAUUGAAAGAACACUUCGGAGCAGUUAACCGAAAUUAUCUAGAAUUAACUAGCUAAGAGUAGACUUAACCGGUUCCAUACCGUUAAAAGUGGAGGGUAUAAAAUUAAAUUUUGUACUUAUAUGAGGUGGGUUUUUUAUAAAAUCAACUAGGGUGGUACCGCGAAUGAUAUCUCGUCCCUAUG